This is an RNA transcript of Lycium barbarum (goji berry), 1181 nucleotides long. It is a transcript of the gene named succinate dehydrogenase subunit 5, mitochondrial-like, with no coding region annotated. The record is from RefSeq and is a predicted model, not a curated record. The transcript has 5 exons. NCBI's taxonomy places the organism in Eukaryota, Viridiplantae, Streptophyta, Magnoliopsida, Solanales, Solanaceae.
AUAUACUAGUUCCUUUUGUUAGGUCAUAGGAACUCGGAAAUUUUCAAUCUGCUUAUCAAAAACUCUAGCAGUGAAACAAAGAAAAGGAAGUUUGGUAAAAAUGCAGAAAGUGGUAGUGCUAAAAUCAGUGUAUCGUUCUGUAUGUCGCAGAUCCUCUUCAGCUUUCAAGUUUCCGCCUGCCGCAAAUUCCCAUCGCCACCUUCAUUUCUCAGCUAACAUUUUUUCAGCUACUCCUACAACCCCUUUUCGUGAAUUGCAACAUCCUUUGACAACGGCAAUAGGAAGCACACGUUCUUUUUGUGUGGAUUUGACCCACAUGCCUGACAUAAAAGAUCCAGAGGUCAAACGAGCUUUUAAGGACUUAAUGGCUGCAAGCUGGGAUGAGCUUCCAAAUGCAGUUGUUGGUGAUGCAGAGCAUGCAUUGACUAAAACUACUGAUGACAAGGCUGGUCAGGAAGCCUUGAUUAAUGUUUUCCGUGCAGCAGAGGCAGUAGAGGACUUCACAGGGAUUCUCACAUCUCUGAAAAUGGAGAUUGAUGAUGCGAUCGGUUUAAGUGGUGAGAAUGUGAAGCCUAUGUCAAAAGAAUUCUCUGAUGCAUUCCAAACAAUCUUUCAACGUUACACCACCUACUUGAAUGCUUUUGGGUCAGAAGAGGGAUACUUGAAGAAGAAAGUUGAAAUGGAACUCGGGACAAAGAUGAUACACUUGAAGAUGAGAUGCAGUGGCCUUGAUUCUGAAUGGGGAAAGUAGCAGUAUAGAGAAUAUGGAUCAAUCUCUGGAUUCUUGUAUCUGCUGGGAGGGAACAGGUUACAGUUCUCGGAACUUCGGGACUAGCUGGUUCCUAUGUUGAGCAAAGAGCAUAAGCCUUCAAUGAUGGCAGAGUCUCAGAAGUGUUUUCGCCUUUAAGUCACUUGUGUAAGAUUUUCCUGGAAGAGAAAAGGAAGUCUUAGAUAAAACAGGUUGCUAGCAAUGCGAUCCGUUAAGUUGCACUGUUCUUCCGCAAGUUUGAUAAUGUCAUAACAGCAAUAGUCAGUUGAUACUGAUCCUAAUAAUUUCUUCAAGAAGAUAGUUUCCUGAGUAUUUAGAAAGAUAGGGUUGACUGAUGAAUCCGGCUCACUGUUUUAAUUUUUUAUUGAUUGGUUAUUGCACAGGGCACUCUGUGGGAGCCAGUUCACUUUUA